GGAAUAUUGGACAAUGGGGGGAACCCUGAUCCAGCGACGCCGCGUGGGUGAAUAAGGCCUGCGGGUUGUAAAGCCCUUUCGGUGGGGAAGAAAAGCCUCGACCUAAUACGUCGGGGUCUUGACGUAACCCACAAAAGAAGCACCGGCUAACUCUGUGACAGCAGCCGCGGUAAUACAGAGGGUGCGAGCGUUAAUCGGAAUUACUGGGCGUAAAGCGCACGUAGGCGGCUCUGCAAGUCGGGUGUGAAAUCCCCGGGCUCAACCUGGGAACUGCAUUCGAUACUGCAUUGCUAGAGUAUGGGAGAGGGAAGCGGAAUUCCCGGUGUAGCGGUGAAAUGCGUAGAUAUCGGGAGGAACAUCAGUGGCGAAGGCGGCUUCCUGGCCCAAUACUGACACUCAUGUGCGAAAGCGUGGGGAGCAAAC
This 423-nucleotide ribosomal RNA is filed under the name uncultured bacterium. RNAcentral's name for it is "bacterial SSU rRNA". It matches the Rfam family "Bacterial small subunit ribosomal RNA", at positions 358 to 773 of the family's 1533-position model. The record is from RNAcentral.